GUCAGGGUGGAGGAGGCUCCCUUGUGCUGGGAAACAGGUCCAUGUGCCUUUUCUUGGACAGCAAACCACCCUUAGGAGAUCCUCCCCAUCCUCCUCUCCUGCGCGUUCUUACCACCGCAUCCCCCCAAAGUGCACACUGAGCCACGCCAGUGAGCUGAUCCAAGGUGAAAAUAACCCUCCUGCAACCCCACUGCCACCAAAACCCAGCGGGGUAUCCCACUGAAGUACUGCAGCCCGGCACGUGCCGGGGAUGCAGACCGCCACGGGCAACUGUGCUGGCACAUGCUGCGGGAAAGGGGCGCCAGGGACGGGCUGGGUCGGGGAGAAGGGUGCGUGGAGCCAGGACGCUGGCGCUGGGGAGCUGCGCGCCCUGUAAGUGCUGAUCCGGGCUUAUUUUGCAGCCACUUCUCUGUACAGACAAGCCCAGCCUAGCUGUUUUCUUGACUGUUUGUCUUGGCAGCAAGUCCCCCCAUCGAACCGAGGGUGUCAUUUAUCUCCCACAGCAGCAGCCCUCGGCAGAACUAGUAGCAGCAGCGAAGCCCCGGAGGCCCUCGCUGGCGGAGGCUAACCCUGGCCUUUGGCUCGCAUUCCUCGCCCUCUCGCACAGGAACAAGGGUCCUUAAAGAGAGCCUGUUGCAGCCAGAGAGGCUUGGACAGAAACAGAUGGUGCGUGAACCACUGGGCAAAUGCACCCCAAAUUCAGGCUGUUCGUGCAGGAAUGUCCUACCAGAGCCCACCUGAGAUCUCGAGAGUCUUCCCCUUCCUUGAGGUUUUGAAACAAAACACUAAAGAAAAAAAAGCAUGUCUUUCAGCUUGUUUUGGUGUGUUCCUAGGGCAUGUCUAUUCCUCUUAUGAAUUAGAAACACUGGCAAUCACAAUAUGUUAUGCCUCUAACUGGUACAUACCAUCCUUAUUUCUUGCACUUAGAUGAGGAACAGCAAUACAGUUUAUUGCGCACUGGAUGGACAAAGAAAGCUUUGUUGACUCUGGGAUUUUGUCAUGUUGAUGUUUCUUUUCCACUUGACACUAAUACGGCACCAAAAGGGCUGGUUCGCACCCACUGGAAAUAGAAGUGUGAAAUUAAUAGCCAAAAAUAAAAACUCAUGAAAUGAUUUGGGAAAGAGGGAGAACAGCGAGAACUCAGAGGAAUGUAAUUUACUGAGCCUGAUUCACUAUGCUGGCAAGGAGCUCUGUGCCAGAGCCAAAUGAAUCAGAUUCCUUUUCAGUCUGUGCUGGCACCACAAUUAUUUAGGUGAAGCCAUGGGUAGAAGGAGCAGAUAUUUGGGAAGCGUUACUGGACAGACCGUAAGUUGAGACACCCUGACAUGUCUGCUGUAACUGAACCGGCUUGUGCCAUUUUAGCAUUAUAUGCACUGAAAGAAUUAAAAAAGUGAAAAUGAAGUAUGAUGGCACGUCAGGUCAGAGCCUCUUCUGAGAGUCAGGGAGGUUAUUCCUCACACGAGCCGAGUCUGGCUCCUGCAGGUUUUGUUUAUCUCUGUCUUGUAAUGGGGCUGGAAUAAACGCUGUUGCAGCUCAUAAACAAACAUCUCAAGAUAAUAUUUCUAAGAAAAAAAAUGCAUCUGGCAUUUUGUUUUAGAUCCUCAAAAUUUGCAGCCUGUAUUCAGCAGCUCUCGAGACACAGUGGGCACAGCUCUCGCUGUGCCCAUGGUGUUGCCGGUAAAAGCAGAGAGUCUGCCCAGAGGAGAAGGGAUGCCACUGUCCCUUUGGCAUUUUGGGGAUGUCACAGAUUGCUAUAGAGUCCCGCGUAUGGAUUUUCACAACUCUGGCUGAUCUCAGGAACCCACUUGGUGCUAUUCUUGCAAAGUGCAAAGAUGAAUUUGGCACCUGAAAAGCAUCAGUAUUGCAGUUCAAAUGCCCAUUCAGCAAAGUCCUAAAAUACAUGUAUUUCUUUGACCCUGUGCUCAAAUCCAAUGGCAAUCAAGAGGAUGACCUUGCCCAAGUGCUUUACUGACCUGGGCCUUUUAAAGACUGCCAUUAACUUCUGGGGAUUUUGGAUGAGGCCCCAAACAAGCUAAAGGAUGAGUUUAGAAAAAUUUGUGCUGAAAAGACCUUCAUAUUUUAGGAUUUGGCCACAGUUUGCUGCUGCAGACAUUCUCUUCUCCUAUUUGUUUGUUUCUCUGACUUAAAAAUUAUCCAUGGAAAACACUGCCUCAGUGUUCAGCAACAAAUGCAAAAUGCUGCCGGCACCCUCCAGAUGUCAGAUCUGAGUACGUGCUUGUGCUUGCCCGGCUAAGAAAGAAACCUGGCAAAUCUGUAUUCAUCUGUUUCUCACCUGUAUCAUCAUGACAGUGAGCUAAAGCUAGGGCAGAUGCACGGAGCCCGCAGAGAGACCUGCUUGCGAAAGGAGCCUAUUUUUAACAAGCCUUUCUUCCACGCUGCAGAGGAAACAAAGGAUUUAACAGGAGCUGCUUGAUGUGGGGUUCGUCGUGCGGUUUUCCCCACCCUUGUUUGGAUGAGCCUGCCCCAUCGCCUUGGCAAGCUUCCCCAAACACACCACACGCCUCGGGCAGCCCGCCAGCCUACCUGCCUGAGAAAAACAGACCUGCUUUCCCCGCCGCGCCCCGACCUUGAAGGAUGAUAGCCCGUUGGCAAGAAACAUCGGCAGUAACUGUUUGGAAAACACACGCCCGCCAAGUUUCGCCUGCAACUGGCUUUCCCCAGCGCGUCCGCCGGCCCUCGCCCGCCGCGCGACGCCGGGGCCUCACUCCUGCUCUGCAUCCGGGGGCACUUAUGGAAGAGGGUAUUAAAUAUCUCAGAGGCUCCCCGUGCAGAACCAGUCCCAAUCCAGAUGCGGAGACUGUGUGAUUCUGUGCUGCAGGAGGAGUGCGGCUAGACUGAAACUAAAUGCUGACACACUCCUUAGUCCCCCGGUGAAUAUACAUCCUCGGACGCCAACCAGAUUGUUCCAGGCUGUCCUGCAUUGCAUUAUGCCUGAGUGAUCAUUGCUUGCAGCGCCGGAGCUUCAGGUCACUGCAGAGAGAGGGAAGGAGUGAUAUAGAUGUUCCCAGCAGAGCCCGGAGACACUUAGGGAGAUUGAUGAAGGAUGCCCGGGCUGCCUGGCGGCCCCGAUUGGCUGCUGCGCUCCUGGAGCUCGAGUUGAGAGGGCAAACUGACACCGAGAGCACAGCAGCCUCCCGGCGAGGGAGAGCCAGUCAGGAGACCCCCAGGCACCUGGGGCUUGGAAAUGUCAAGGCGAGUUUCUGCAUGCCUCCCUGGGAAGAUGUGGCUGAGGUGGGCAGGAGGGGAGUGAACCCCCCGAUCUUCCCUUUCCUGCUAGGCAGGGCCUGAUCCAAAGCCCUCUGAAGUCAGCAGAGGGAAUCCCACUUUUCUGCCAGUGCUUAAAAAUUACAUGCUUAAACCCCUGUCCCCUAACAGAGAAAGGGGUCUGGGACACAUACGGAGAAUGAACUUCAGUUCAUGGUCAUCUACUUACCACCAUCAAGGAUGAAUAAGAGUCAGAUAAAAUGUAUAUGAGGAUCUUCAGUGUUGUAUUUAUGAUAAUGCUCAGACACUUAUGCAAUGAACAUCAGACAAAGACAUCCCAAAGCCCCUCUUGGUCUUUUAUUAGUAAUUUUUACAAAACAUAGAAAUUGUGCUCCCCAUUCUAAAUGCAAUCAGCCCCAGGCAGAAAACAGCUGCUAUUCAAAAAUGCUCACUAUGUCUGAUCCAGUGCCCGCUUAGAUCAAUGGGACCAGUUUUCAUAAUCCCAAUGGGAGCUGAAUGGAAACCGAGAGGAGUCAGUGCAAGCCAAAAGGUGAGUACUCCUAAAGGCAACGAAUUCACCCUUACUGUCUCCCCCAUCCCUGUUUGUGAGUAUCGCAGUGGUAUUCUUAAUGAGGACAGGACAGGAAGGGGCUUCAAAGCUUCAUGCUAGAGCUGGAUAAUAGCAGUGGCCCCGCAACUGGCAAUUCAUGGCAAAGGCAGCGGCAGGUGUGGUUGUAUUGCUUCAGGCACCAGGGUUAGCUUGUCCUCAGCCCUCACUUCAUCACGAAGGAGAUAUGCCCCCUGACAUCAGUAAGCUGGUCCCAUCUAGGACUGUGGGAUUCAGUGCCUCUGAGAGCAUAGGAGAGCCGGCUCCCAGCAGAAGUGAGGUGUAUAGCCUCCUGAGGGUGGGUUCAACUCCCAUGACUUUAAAGGUCUACAGUAUAAACAUCUACACUUUGGGUCCCAUUACAGUCAAGGGACUACAGUCAUCUAACCAGUGAAGGUAUUUAGAGAUUGUGCUUCAGAUCUCACUGUCUGUAUGGACCAUACAACCCACAGUUUUGCCUCCAUGGCUCCUUGAGCUGCCAUGGGAGACUAGAUGCCAAGCUUAGAUGUAGAGAUCUGCAUUGCAAAUACCUUGCAAAUAUGGUUAGGUGAGAUGAAUUCCACCCCUGGCAUUUGUGGGUUUAUAGAUGCCAGUGAUGAGCUACUGCAGAGGAUCUAGAGAUGAGACCAACAUUUAUGUUAAUUGUACCAGCCCAGAUUAAGCAACUGUCACCGUGCUGGACCAGUCCUUGUGACGGACACAACCUUCGCUAUGCAAUGGGAGUGUAAGGUCACAACUGCUGUGCUUGUGUGAGUCCCUUACACCCAUCUGGACAUAAGCAGGGCUUGAAAAGAGGAUAAUCACUAUCACAGCACUUCCUAUCCAUGUACAGCUUGGAUAGGAGCAGGAGUAGGCAAUUAUUCUCUAGAAGCUGAUAAACAUUUUGCUGGAGUAUUAUAUUCCUAAGAUAUAUAGUGUAUGCUAGGUUCCAGAAUUGAAAACCAAUGGUGCAUUUGAACCUCCUACUCUCUGCUACCUGUGUCUUAUGGCAUAAAACCUUGGAUGGCAGAGCCAGUCCAAGAUCCCCCUGCUUGUCACUGCAUACAAGGACAAUGAAUCAGAAGACCUAGUGAAGUGACUCAGGGAUUCUCUGUGCAUAGGACGUGGUUCCUCUAUAUUUACAGAACCAGCUGAUCAGAAAAGCGCAGUGAGGCAUCUGACAAGCAGAUUAUUCUUAGUGCAGCAGAGAAAGAAAAACUCAUGUGUUGUUUCCUAUUGUUGACAGGCCUUUGCAAAUUAUGCUUUUAAAUGUAGUAAACUAGUGAAGAUGACAACAGUUCCGGUAAAAAUGCACAUGCAAGCAUACACACACACACACACACAGAGGAGGACAGCUGAGCCAGAAGAAUCUCCUUAUUUACUCAUUUCAGCCAUGUGUUUUCACCUACAAAGCCAAAACACUUCUUGUAGCAGGUCCUUUUUUGUUUAGCUUUAUUUUUGCCUCUGGUAUCAGUAGUGAAUUCAUGUUGAAGACAGAAAGUUUGCAAUAUAAGGAGUGCAACAAUACAUCACCAUCCAGCACAGGAAACCAGCAAAGUAGGACCUGGAAAAAAAAACCCUGACUGGGGGCAAGAUCUAAACAAGGUUUUGGAACUUAAAGCAUGAUUUAUGCAGAAAUUAGCCAGCACUGUCCAGCACUGUGGUCCCAAACACCCCAGCUCUCUACUCAGGCUGCUGCCUAAUACUGAACAGAACUGCACUGUGCAGGCACCUCAUUUUGUUGCCCAAGAGAUUGGAUCUGCUCCUGCAUAUGCCCAUAGCUGUCCUGUGGGAGGGGGUCAAUGUCUAGCUUACCCUUGAGCCUAUCUGGGCUCCCAAGCCUCUCUCCACUGGAUUUCCGGAGAUAUUUUGUUGGUAGCUGUCCUUGGAGCAUACAUUACCAGAACUAGCAGGUUUGGGUUUCUCAACAGGCAGUGAUUUAGGGUGGUGCCCACCUUCAUUGUAAUAAUCCAGUGCAUAGAGCACUCCCCUGGAAUGUGGUUGGUCUGGGUUCAGUUCCCUCUCUGUUUUGAGAGGGUUCAAAUCCACAUUUUUCAUAUCCCAGAAGAACCAGAAAUGUGAACAAAGACUAGCACUGGAUCUGGGAAAGCACUUUGUCGUAAGGCCAUUAUAAAAGCUCUGGGGCUCUUGACUGCUGAACAACUCCUUCAGACAGACUGUUUCUGAAUACUGAUGAAGGGAAAAUGACAGCCCCUUUACAGAGGAAACGGUGAAGAAUCAGUAGCUCCUCCCCGACGGACCAGAUGUGCAGUCACAACAGGGGGUAGUGGCAGUAGCUACUGAAACGUGCAGUUUUCUGAGGUAUUGAUGAAAGAGAGCAAGACUUGGAAAUGGCACAGUACACCUCUGGCUGCACAUAGUGGACUCUGGCGUGUUUAGUUUGCAUGAGCUGGCUACACAGAGCCGGGCUGUUAGAGUAUCUCUACUGUAGCUGCGCAACAAAACACAGACCUGCCAGCCAACCUCUGCAGCACCAAAACUCAGCUCCCUCCAUCCCCAGCCUUCCUGCAUUCUUCACAAAGAUAUGUUCUCUAAACAUAUCUUUCCCCUGUAUAAUCCAAAUGCUCAUCCUCUGAAAACGUCCUCUUCUCCAUUGCACCUCACUAGGUGUAUCCAGGUGGAGGUGCCCUCUGGGCUGGCAGCUGGAGUCUGAUGGCCGCAGGGCAAGUGUGUCAUGGAAACAUCGACAGAUGACAGAAGAAUAAGGAAAAACAAUUGCAAUGUGCUAGUGCUCCCUCAGGGACUGCAAACAAGAAUAAGAUAAAAAAGACAAUACCAGACCUUUCUUGUGACAUUUCAUACCCUAGAAGGGUUGUGCUGGGUAAAGAAGGGCUGUGCCCUUCUCUGGAAGAACAGCCCCAGGCACAAGUGCCCCAGUGGACUGUGGUUUGGAAACAUCAUAAAACUGCCUGUCCCAGGGCCUUUUUCCACUUGCUGUGUAGUUGUGCAGCUCUGUAUUCCUUCUCUGCUUGUCAUGACUUUACUCCCCUAGCCCAGGCCGUGUUGGCCAUGAUAGGACAGAGCUGCAAGGCUUGACCAGGCUACACAUUGAGCAAUGUCACAGAAUGAGGCGAAGCCGCUGCGCAUCAGGAGGAGGUUGGUGGUACAAUAUUUCUGUUUCCCUCUGAGUCUACAAAGAUCUAGGAGGGAGGUAUUGGUGGAGUUAUGUUUGUGUGUUCAAAGGUGGGAUUAACUGAAGAGUCUUUAGUUCUCUAAAAGGGAGGUGUUUAGUCUUAAGUUCAUUUUCAAGGAUCUCUUUCUAAUUUCUGGGAAGAGAAAUGCACCUUUGAAGGGAGAUUCCUACUCCUGUCUUCAGUGCCAGGCGUUGAAAACACCCAUCUCUCCAGUACUGUACGGGGGAGCCUGAAGGACCAUUUCUUUCUGGUUGCUGUGUUUCAUUGCCUAUACUUGGGUACACAGCACUGUUCCAGCCACCGUAGGGCAUUGGAGGCAUCUGCAUAGGGCCCACAGAUAUGGCACAGGGCUCAGAGGAAACCCGUGUCCUUCCAGAGAGGCAAGAAGAAGCAAGGUGAGACACCCUGAACAUCUCAAAGAGCACUAGACACCUACCUUUGGACAUCUGAACCUAGCCCAGGAGGUUUAACUUUUAGAUUGUUAAAGCUGGGUGAACACAACUGUUCUGGAUCAUGUUCACAGAUUCAUAACUGGAUCUUGACAAUCUGAGUAACUGGAUGAUUGGAAUUGUUCUUUGUGGUAUAUUUAUUUUUUCUACAUUCAUUUCUACUUCUUUUGUUUGAUUUCCUCUUUCCCUUGUGAUUCUGUUUUUCCAAAUACUGAAGCACCUGCAACAUUGACCCCUUAAGGGAGCUCAUGUUUCUGUUCUCUCCAUAGGUACUUGCAUGGUAAUGAGGCCUUCUUGUUGGAUACUGCCUUCUCUAGCCACUUGAUCUACUUCAUUUCAUGGGCAAGGUUCUUCCAGCACGAUUUAUGGUGUUGGCCCUGCACACCCUGUUCCCGCUGUAUUGUUCCUGGCGGCCCCCUGCACAGGAGCACAGUGGCAGGGCGAGAUGCGGUACACAGCGGUCGCUUGCCGCACUGCACUGGACAGCGCGCACCUGAUCCCCUCUGCAGCCAGGAGAUUUAAAGCUUCACCAUAAGGCCACAGUUUUGUCAGAAGUAAAAAUACUAGCAGAGAGUUUGGGUUAGAAAUCUACUUCCUGGAGGUAUUACUAGCAAUUUCUCCAAGUUUGGGCUGGGCCAGCCCUUACCACGUCUCCAUACACUAAUGUGUUUGAAUGACUUUGCCAUAGGUCAGCGGCAGUAUCUUAGGGAGAAAGAAUUCCAGCUGUCUUCUUACUUUGCAGCUUUCAUGCCAUUGAAAGGUUAACGGGGCCAAAUGCCUCCCUGAUCCUUGAAUGCAUGGGGAAAACACAGGGAAUACAGUUAGCCCUUUGAAACUUAGAGCUGGAAGAGGACUGAUAGGCCACUUGCAUCUGUUCUCAGAGGCACUGGCUGCGUGAGAUGAGCAGUAUCUUCUCUAACGCUUCAGCUGCUCUGUGUUGGUACGUUGCUUAAGUGAGAGAACCUCCUUCAUUUCCACUGUGCCAGAUGUCCCUGUCACUCUGCAUUUUUAUUUUACCAGGUUCCAUAAUUUUCCCCCAGACCUCUAUUCCUGCAUUCCUCUUCUGUGUUUGCACUCUAGCAGCCAAAUUAAUAUCCUUGUUCUUGUAAAGGCCCUGAUCCCUCUCUCUUUCUUCCUCGCUCUAAAACAGAGGGUUCCUGCAUUUCUUAGCGCUGACCCUGAAUUGCUGAUUACCAGUCAGAUGGUGCUGUCAUUGCAUGUGCAAAUGCAGAACAUGUGUGGCAUGAGAUUUUUUCCACUAAGUUCUACUGGGACCAGCAGGGAGCUGCACUGUCCUGGGACACUUGUUCACACUGUCAUGCCCAACAGAAGGUCCACACAGUGUCUCCCCAGCCUCCUCGCUCUGCUUCAUUGGCUUCCUGAAGUCCUUCCUUUUUUAUUUGCUGUGAUUCUUUCGCUUAGAUUUAUGAUCUGGCCAGUUCAGCUAUUUGAGAUCUAAUGUAUCAACUUGCAAUAGGACUUGCUGCAAACUCUGUGGAAUUACCGAUCAUCUGAUUUGCUAUGUCUGCCUCUAUUUUUUAAGGAUGUCUUAUUUGACUUUCUAGAUUCUAAGGUGUUUUAGUCUAUGUGGCAUGGACAGGUUGCAGUGAUGCCUGCCACCUGACUUUUGUGAUUUGGUAUCUGCUGAGUUGUACAGUCUCCUUUAUCAGUAACAUCCAGCUAGGCACUUUCCCAAGGUAAAAAUCUGCUUAGGGAGCUGGACUGAUCACAUAUGCACAAACCUUUUCUGGCACAAAUGCAAUAUGAAAGUAAAGCAACAAAGCUCACUGGAGCCAAAUGGGUGUCAUUCAUUUCUGUCAUCCUGCAGGUCUUGCUGCCUUAAGCAGUACUUGAAGAACAGAAUGGAAAACUUAGAGGCAAGUUUAGAAGUUGCCUGAAACUGUUCCUACUGUACCUGUAGGCAUGCAAAGCUGAUAAUUGUGCAUGGAAAAAAUGGAUGCAAACCAAAAUGCAUUAAAAUCUUUGGUCUGAAAUAAAAAAGGCAUGCUCAAUUUCCCCCUUCCUCCCUCUUUUAAAUAUGUCAGUGAUCUUCUCUGGUACUGGAGUGCACAUAAAAGUCAGCACGUGGUGCCUUGCUGCAGCCCCUGGGCACUGAAGGAGCCUGGGUGCAUGGACCUUUAGCCUGCACAAUCCAGGUGCAUGGAAAAGUCUGAACUUUUCUAAAUUUGGGCCACUUGUUUACACUGCUGUUUUUUUUCUAGCCUGAGAUCAGCUUUAGUCACCUGCAGUCACACUACUUUGCUUGGCUAAGUGAAGGUAUAUGCAUGUGUAUAUGUGCUGGCACAUCUUCAGGACAAGGGAGGGGGCAGUGUCCAGUGAAUGUGUGCUCUCUGUAGGGUCAUAUUUUGAUGUCCUGACUGAGCCAUUCCUUAGGCAAAGCUCCACCGAGCAGCUGUGUAAAGCCAUUUAGACAAUGGACUUCUCACUAUAUUUCAAUAUAUGAGCUGAAUGAGGAUUGAGCAAAACCUGUAGACACUGACCCCCUGCACGGUUAUUAUUUAUAAAGACACUGGCUUUUGCUGCUGAUAUAACCUGGCCCUCUGUACCUCAACUUUUGUUGGAGAUUUUCUAUUAUUGCUCUUAAUGAAUUUUACAAGAUCUGC
Long non-coding RNA from Dromaius novaehollandiae (emu), 10039 nucleotides. RefSeq lists it as uncharacterized. The record is from RefSeq and is a predicted model, not a curated record. NCBI's taxonomy places the organism in Eukaryota, Metazoa, Chordata, Aves, Casuariiformes, Dromaiidae. The transcript is spliced from 2 exons.